UAAUACCACCAUCUCAACAGUGUAUAAGGAGCAAAACAGUGUUGUAGAUAGUUUGGCAAAUUUUGGAGCCCAGCAGGAACAAGGAUUUUGUAAGUUGUAUAAACGACUUCCACCUUUUGUGACUUCUUUCUACCACCAAGAUCAGCAAGGCAUGCUUCGUACAAGACUGGUUAACUCGGCUAUUAGUAGUAAUGCUAGUCUUAGGUUAUGUUCUGUAAAUACAGAUGCUAUGACUGUAUUAGGAACUAAUGGGUUACCCACUAAGGGAACCCCUUUGCUACGUUUUGU
RNAcentral lists this long non-coding RNA (288 nucleotides) under Nicotiana benthamiana. RNAcentral's name for it is "long non-coding RNA (NBEN_LNC028384)". Lineage: Eukaryota; Viridiplantae; Streptophyta; Magnoliopsida; Solanales; Solanaceae. The record is from RNAcentral.